This 407-nucleotide ribosomal RNA is filed under the name uncultured bacterium. Its description in RNAcentral is "partial 16S ribosomal RNA". It matches the Rfam family "Bacterial small subunit ribosomal RNA", at positions 28 to 526 of the family's 1533-position model. The record is from RNAcentral.
GACGAACGCUGGCGGCGCGCCUAACACAUGCAAGUCGAGCGAAGCGGCGGACGGGUGAGUACCACGUGAGUAACCUGCCUUAGACAUUGGGAUAGCCUCGGGAAACCGGGAUUAAUACCAAAUGGUCUAAGAUGGACUCGCGUCCCAUUAGCUAGUUGGUGAGGUACCGGCCCCACAAGGCGACGAUGGGUAGCCGGCCUGAGAGGGUGAACGGCCACAUGGGAACUGGGAAACGGUCCAAACUCUACGGGAGGCAGCAGUGGGGGAUAUUGCACAAUGGAGGGAACGAUGAGGCAGCGAGGCCUCGUGAACGAAGACGGCUUGCGAGUCGUAAAGUUCUUUUAUAUGGGAAGCGGUACCAUAAGAAAAAGCCACGGCUAACUACGUGCCAGCAGCCGCGGUAAUUC